UAGGGAAUUUUCCACAAUGCCCGCAAGGGUGAUGGAGCGACGCCGCGUGAGGGAUGAAGGUCUUCGGAUUGUAAACCUCUUUCGUUUGGGAAUAAGGUUUUGGCACUAACAUUGCCAAAAUUUGACGGUACCGAAGGAAGAAGCUACGGCUAACUCUGUGCCAGCAGCCGCGGUAAUACAGAGGUAGCGAACGUUGUCCGGAUUUACUGGGCGUAAAGGGCUUGUAGGUGGCCAAAUAAGUCAGUUGUGAAAUCGUUCUGCUCAACAGAACAAUUGCUUGUGAUACUGCUUGGCUUGAGUGCAGGAAGGGAAAAUGGAAUUUCCGGUGUAGCGGUGAAAUGCGUAGAUAUCGGAAAGAACACCUGUGGCGAAGGCGGUUUUCUGGCCUGCAACUGACACUGAGGAGCGAAAGCUAGGGGAGCAAACAGG
RNAcentral lists this ribosomal RNA (429 nucleotides) under uncultured bacterium. Its description in RNAcentral is "bacterial SSU rRNA". It matches the Rfam family "Bacterial small subunit ribosomal RNA", at positions 355 to 776 of the family's 1533-position model. The record is from RNAcentral.